CUUGUUGCUAAUAGUAGGUUUUUUGCUGAUGAAUUGUCUGAUAAAUGGUCUAAACAACAAAGAUCGUUACCUCAUAUUGUUGAGAUUUCUGAUUGUCUGAUGAUAUUGAAGUUUACAUUGAGACUUUCAGAUUGAUGUAUUCUAGUAAAGAUCUUAAGAAGAAGCUUAUGAGAGAAGAUGUUUCUAAAGUACUUGGGAUUUUGAAGGAUGUUAGGAUAGUCCAACAUUGGAUGGGAGCUGUUGAUUUUUGCCGGCAGGUAGGCCUUGAUAACACUUUGGAAAUGCUUAAAUGCUCAGGUUAUUGUUUUUGAUUCAUGGCAAAACAUAAGGAAAUUUCAUUCUCUGGAUAUUUAUUUACUGUUUUUGUUUCUGUAAUUUCGUUCUGUGAUUCUUUAGUGAGAGCUGGGAUCGGUAAUUGUGGUCUAAGUAGAAGAGGAUCUCUGGAGAGGGUAGUCAUUAAAAUGUCCAAAGGUUUCCAGUAUUUAGCCUUUGGAUAACACUUUUCAUUUGGAUUUGUAGAGCGUUUUGAAUGCUCAAAUUCAUGGGUAUUUGUAAAGACAUUGAGAUAAUUAUACUCUGGAUUGUUUAUAGUCCUUCUAAUGUUUUGAAGAUAUGUUGAAAAUUUUGAUUUUUUUUUCUUAAAUUACGAAAUAAGGUACAUGUGAUAAUUGCUAAAUUAUUCUUCGGUUAUUAUCUGAACCUUUGUUGUCUUACAUUGUGGCAGUGUCUAUCUAAAGCUUUGACAGAGGAUUAGUUUGCGUACCUCAGGAUUCAGUUUCGGCUCUAUGAACCUAAUAAAGAUGGCCAGAUCUCUCUUGAUAACUUCAAAAUGGUACGUCAUUCAAAUUUUGCCUUUUGGUUCAAGUCUUAGCUAUGCGUGAACCUGCUAAAUGUGCUGCUUGUGCAUUGAUGUCACAACUUAGUGGUCAGGGAUUGAAACUUGUUCUUCCUUCUCUCCUUGAGGAGCAAUUUCAAGAAUUUUAUGAUGUUGUUAUGCCUUAUCCCAAAGCUGUCUUUUUGAAUGCCAUUGAAAAGUAUAACUGUAUGAUCCGUGCUAAAUGUAUGGAGUGCCUUAGUUUGGUUAAAAUGAUGUUUAGGAGGACAAGCUUGAGAUGAUGCUAAGCAGGAGUAUAUAGUGGUUCUUGCUUGUAAAUGGAAAGCACCAGCAUCAAGCUAGGGAUGAUUUGGAGCGAAACGAGUAGUGAAUUUGUGCCUGAAAAGCAAAGUGUCGGGAGAUAUGUAUCGGAUGAGGAUAGUCGUCGUGAUAUUGUGAAGCAUGAUUCUUCUAGAGUGGAAGUGUCUUCUGGAAAUUCAUUUGGUGGUGACAAGAACGUUAGAUACGCAGGGGAGAGAAAGGUUGGCACUGACCAUAUUUGACAUUAGUUAUCUGAAUUUAUGUUUAUUGUUGACUUCACAUAUAUGAGCAACUGGAUACUGUUGCACCGAUUGUUAAGGAUACCUGUGGUGAGAUUUUCCCGCGACAUUAAUCUUCAGUGGAGAGAAUAUUAGGUUCUGCGAGUUCACAAUCUACGAUGGCAGGUACUGUGCAUCUUUUGGAUGAAAUCUGUGUGCAUCAUUAUGAGGUUAUUAUGUGUCAUGCUCUUUCAUGAUUGUGUGCAGGCAUUCCAUUGAUCUCUGUUAGUUCACUAACUAACCUGGAUGCGCGCUGAUAAUUUGUUAAUAUUAGGGUCCACCUUUGCUUAGUUGAUUUUCUGCUUGAAUCUUUUCCAGGUAGAACAUCACGUUUUGCAAUGAGUUUGAAUGAUCCUCUUGUUUCCAUAUCAUCUGCAUUUGAUAUAAUGACUUGCGUAUUGGAUUCAGUAUUCUUUUAGUUUUUGUAUUGUUAUGCUGUUUCCAGGGUUGCUUUAUCCCGUGGAUGUCAAUUUAUCCUCUAUACAUUCUUUUGGGGAUUUGUAUUUUUAUAUACGUGAAUAGAACUUAUCGAAUCUGAUAUACUUUACAAUCUAAUCUGCAAAUUUGUCCUUGUAUAUAGGUUAUGAGAGGUACUCAUCCAACAGUAGAGUCAGCAGCGCAAACGUCACUUCAGCAGGUGAUUGUCUUUAGAGUGUCAAAUCCGAUCUCUUGUCAUUAAUCUUUUGAUUGUCAUAAAGAAUCCUUAACCUCUGGUCAUUCAAAUGGCAAAUGGUGCUCAGGGUACAUGUCCGUCUACCCCCGUCUCAGUUCAUCAGUAAGUCUAGCAUUAAUGGUUCUCUUAUGUUCUUACUUAUUGUCUUUAUCUCUAUCAUCUUCAAUUUGAAUGGUUCACUUGUACGAACUUGAUUAUGAUUUUCAACUCGGAAGGGUCUGCUACAGAAGAAGGCGUGCAAAAUACUCCCAGUAAGUCUUGAGGUUGUUAUGGAUUCUGCAAGUAUUCUUGGGCUUUUCAAAGUUAACUUCAUUUUCUGUGGUAUCAAGGUUGUAAAGCUCGAACCUGACUGAGAUAAAUCAGUGCUGGACAUGUGCAUGAAUGAAAUAUACUUCUGGGUUGAAAGCUUAGAGGAAAGAUCACAACUUUAUAACCUUGUCUUUUAAAAACCUUUUCUUUAGAUCUCAACUUUCAAAACUUUGAGUUCUUUGCAUUGGGUAGGAUCACACUUGUCAUUGCAAAAGAAUUGUGAUCUAUGGAUCACCCUUUAGAUUAUACUGGCACAGAUCACAGACAGCCAGUACUUAGAUCACACCUUUUAAGAAUGAUCCAUGUAUGUUUUUGUUGUAGUGAUGUGAAGUUUCCAGGUCCUGUAAAAGAAAUUAACCAGAUAGCUAAGCAAAUUAAGUUUCCAGGUCCUGUAAAACUUUCAAUGUGUUUCUUCUACUCUUCUCAAUUCCUCACAAAUUAAUGAAACAUAUGGGAUCUGUUGAAUACGCCCUGACUUCAAGAUAGCUAAGCAAAUCAGCCAGUUACAGGAUACAAUCAAAUUCUGGCAUUCCACAGAUUUUGGAGUUCCCCUAAGCUGUCUCUGCCAAUCUCUUUGUAGAAAAGUGAAGGUCGAAAUUGUCAACACAACACUGGAUGUUAGAUCAAAAAGUAAAAUUCAACAAAACUGUUUCCGGGAUGCAACAUCGUCAUAACAUUUUAUCUGUCAGGAAUACAAGUGAAGUUUUCUUUACAUAGUUUGGUUUAUAUGUUCAUUUGAGUGUUUCUAGGCCUUUGCAAGUGGAUGGUAGACCCCCUUGAAUCUGGAUGGUCAACUCUAACUACUUGAACUACCAAGAAUCCAUACAAGAGCAAUUCCCAUUCCUGAAUUGAUGGAAACGAACAGGGUCUCUGACGAAUAUUUCACGGUUAUAUACAAAUGAAAU
Papaver somniferum (opium poppy) is the source of this 3300-nucleotide RNA transcript. RefSeq lists it as uncharacterized. The record is from RefSeq and is a predicted model, not a curated record. The transcript is spliced from 8 exons. Lineage: Eukaryota; Viridiplantae; Streptophyta; Magnoliopsida; Ranunculales; Papaveraceae.